This is a long non-coding RNA of Lethenteron reissneri (Far Eastern brook lamprey), 2382 nucleotides long. RefSeq lists it as uncharacterized. The record is from RefSeq and is a predicted model, not a curated record. NCBI's taxonomy places the organism in Eukaryota, Metazoa, Chordata, Hyperoartia, Petromyzontiformes, Petromyzontidae.
UGGUGCCAACAAGCGGCGAAGACGGCGAACUCGGCAGAAACGCCCAGAAGCCGCUGUGGCCGCUCUCGACGUGGCCGGCCUACAACGUUGCGCAAUGGCCGUGCACAUUGCGCAACCUCUACCCCCCCGCCCUGACUGCUGUUGACGUGCGGCGUCAACUCGUACGGGUGCAGGUCCGUACGGGCGUAUAGCCGUUUCAACACGGGCAAACAGCAACACCACAAUCUUUGUGUUUCUCUUGUAGGUGGGGACUUUGUAGCAUGGCGAGGACACUGAUAAGAGGCGGGAAGCUGAGCCAGAGACCUGCAUCUCAAGUGAGAGCAAACGAGUGGCUGCCUCGUGCGCGGUUCAGACUCAAUGAAGCGCGAGUUACGACCAUCACCCAUCUUCCGAGGCCGUCGGCUGGAGCUCCAACAGGCACCAUGUUUUAAACGUCAGCGGCUGUGUCAUUUGUCAAGAUCCUGAUGAAACAACUAAUUGGAUCUUGCAUGGCUCAAACACUGCGGCAGUAGCGAUGGGCCGAGUCUGAGGAAGUGCUUACAAUGCUACAGCCAAAUGAAUGGACGUGUAUUUGUGGGGAGUGGUGGCGCAGUGGUUAGCGCAGUGGGCGACAAAUCAGACGAUCCGAACAUCGGUGACGAAUAUCCAAACCAGUCCUGGGCCUCCCCUAGGAUUACUCAGCCCUAUAUUAGUCACUGGUGCAGUGUGGAUACAUCAGCACCGGGGAGACAUCGGCAGCUGGGCGUGGUAUUGGCCACCCACCCCUCGUGUGCCGUGUUGCCCUUAUAAGUGCUUGCUACCAAAACGUCUGUUUCGCCUAUAAAAGGGACAGGUCUUUGGAGAGUGAUGACACAGUGGUUAGCGUACUGUGCGACAGAAUGUGGCUACCUGAGUUCAAUUUGCAGCCACGGCGGCUAACAUCAGUGGUGAGUGAUAUUUGAACCGGUCCUGGCACCACUCCGCUCUCUUCACAUUUGCACUGCCGAGCAUGGUGAAUUAUGGUCAAACAUCCCCCAAGCCCAACUAUAGGUAUACUCAGCCUGAAAUAAAUUCAGCAAACUGUCAUACCCAGAUUUAUGUCUCCCCUUUUACGUUGUUUCGCAAAUACGUCGUCAAUUUAUAAAUACCAUGACCUGAUUUGUGUCACUUCAACCCACACUCACGUCACUGACGGCAUCGUCUGCCAUCUCUCGUAUCUGUCGCCUUUCAGCCUUCGCCUCUACCCACCGUAUACACCAACUUUGUGUCGCGCAUAAAAAAGUACUGUACUGUGGAGGACAAUACAGGAAAUCCCUCGAUUUACGAACGUUCGGUUUACAAAAUUUCGCCUUCACGCAAUUGACAAGCUAUGGCCACUUUUUGAUUAACUAAAUCGAAUUUUGGCGUUUGCGAAAUGUCAUGACGGCGCGCGCCACGAGGCCGUCAAACAAGAAGCACCCGGGAGGCUGCAGCGUCCAUCUACGGCAGCGUUACGGUGUCCCUGUGGCGCAACAGUGACACCUCCAUGUCAGUUUAAUACAUACAGUGAGGGAAAAAAGUAUUUGAUCCCCUGCUGAUUUUGUACGUUUGCCCACUGACAAAGAAAUGAUCAGUCUAUAAAUUUAAUGGUAGGUUUAUUUGAACAGUGAGAGACAGAAUAACAACAAAAUCCCAAAAAACGCAUGUCAAAAAUGUUAUAAAUUGAUUUGCAUUUUAAUGAGGGAAAUAAGUAUUUGACCCCUCUGCAAAACAUGACUUGGUGGCAAAACCCUUGUUGGAAAUCACAGAGGUCAGACGUUUCUUGUAGUUGGCCACCAGGUUUGCACACAUCUCAGGAGGAAUUUCGUCCCACUCCUCUUUGCAGAUCUUCUCCAAGUCAUUAAGGUUUCGAGGCUGACGUUUGGCAACUCGAACCUUCAGCUCCCUCCACAGAUUUUCUAUGGGAUUAAGGUGUGGAGACUGUUUAGGCCACUCCAGGACCUUAAUGUGCUUCUUCUUGAGCCACUCCUUUGUUGCCUUGGCCCUGUGUUUUGGUUCAUUAUCAUGCUGGAAUACCCAUCCACGACCCAUUUUCAAUGCCCUGGCUGAGGGAAGGAGGUUCUCAACCAAUAUUUGACGGUACAUGGCCCCGUGCAUUGUCCCUUUGAUGCGGUGAAGUUGUCCUGUCCCCUUAGCAGAAAAACACCCCCAAAGCAUAAUGUUUCCACCUCCAUGUUUGAUGGUGGGGAUGGUGUUCUUGGGGUCAUAGGCAGCAUUCCUCCUCCAAACAUGGCGAGUUGAGUUGAUGCCAAAGAGCUCCAUUUUGGUCUCAUCUGACCACAACACUUUCACCCAGUUGUUCUCUGAAUCAUUCAGAUGUUCAUUGGCAAACUUCAGACUGACAUGUAUAUGUGCUUUCUUGAG